AAAACAAACCUACGGGAGGCAGCAGUAAGGAAUAUUGGUCAAUGGGCGGGAGCCUGAACCAGCCAUGCCGCGUGGAGGAUGACGGCCCUCUGGGUUGUAAACUUCUUUUAUCUGGGACGAAAAACGCCCUUUCUAGGGAACUUGACGGUACCAGGUGAAUAAGCACCGGCUAACUCCGUGCCAGCAGCCGCGGUAAUACGGAGGGUGCGAGCGUUAUCCGGAUUUACUGGGUUUAAAGGGGGCGCAGGCGGGCCUGUAAGUCAGUGGUGAAAUACUUGGGCUCAACCCGGGAACUGCCAUUGAUACUAUAGGCCUUGAGUGACGUUGAGGUUUGCGGAAU
RNAcentral lists this ribosomal RNA (340 nucleotides) under uncultured bacterium. Its description in RNAcentral is "bacterial SSU rRNA". It matches the Rfam family "Bacterial small subunit ribosomal RNA", at positions 328 to 667 of the family's 1533-position model. The record is from RNAcentral.